AAUAAGAUCAUUUUUUAGUUUUUUGAUACAAUGUUUUGAUUCUUCGUUGAUCUUAUUUGAAUUUUUUUUGCGAUUAAUUUUUUAUUCUUACUAGAUGAUAAAAUAUGAAUAGUAAUUUAUACGUGACUAAAUUUUUUAAGUUUUUGUACAAAUUUUUCAAAUAAGACGAAUGGUCAAAUGCUGGACACGGAAAA
This 194-nucleotide microRNA precursor is filed under the name Oryza brachyantha (malo sina). RNAcentral's name for it is "MIR812 microRNA precursor family". It matches the Rfam family "MIR812 microRNA precursor family". The record is from Rfam by way of RNAcentral. Lineage: Eukaryota; Viridiplantae; Streptophyta; Magnoliopsida; Poales; Poaceae.